CAUUUUUUAUGCGUUUCUUUUAUUUCAUAUAAUUAUAUUUAUUAUAAUUAUAUUUGUGAAAUGUAUUAAAUCAGAAGUUACUCGAAGAAUAAGAUAAUAAUGGUUUAAUUACUCGAUCAACUACUCGUUUCUAUGUAAUGAGCUCGGUUUCAGUUUAUCUACAGGGUCGUUCGCUCGCACGUUUCUUCGUAUUUCGUGGACAUCGAGUUUAUAUCGGAGAUGCUUGAGAUUUUUGGCGGUCAUCCAAAUAAAAUGAGAGGAUGAAAGGAAGACAGAGAUACACGGAAGGAAUAACAGAGGAUAGACGAUUCUUGAUCGUUCUCCAAAAGGUAAACGAGCCGCGAGGUCGCGUUCCUCUUGCUCCGUUCUCCGGUCGUCGUGAUGACCUUGAGGCUCGUUUCCCUGUUCCGCAUUCUAAAAAUAUUUACCCGCUCGAAGGGUUUGCGCCACGAUAGACGCCCGAGAUCAUCCUAUCUUUUCUUUGUAUUAUUCUUCGUAUUUCUCUCUCUCUCUCUCUCUCUCUUUUUCUUUUU
Vespula pensylvanica (western yellowjacket) is the source of this 533-nucleotide long non-coding RNA. RefSeq lists it as uncharacterized. The transcript has 3 exons. The record is from RefSeq and is a predicted model, not a curated record. NCBI's taxonomy places the organism in Eukaryota, Metazoa, Arthropoda, Insecta, Hymenoptera, Vespidae.